UGUACCUUCAAGUUUGCAACUUCAAAUAAAUAAAUAAAUAAAUAAACCUCGUGAUCUCUCUUGUCCAGUCAGAUUGCCUCUUGCAAACUGUCCCGACUUAAAUCGGCGAUCACGUGAGCUAGCAUCAGAAUAGUGUAGUGAAUACGGUGUUUGUUCUGAUGCCAACUCGCAACUCAGAUCAGUUGCUUCUCGCAUCAUGCGAUUCUCGUUUUGAGACUUGGUUGGUGAAUACGGCCAUUAGAAUAUUAACAUGUGGAGCAAAGUUCUAUUUACUGGUAUGUCCAGAUUCAGUCUACAAUCUGAUUCUAGGAGAACUUAUUUGGAGAGAACAUUUUACAAGGUAUCAGCCAUCGCACAUUACAGAAAUCAAUCAUUUCAGAGAUGAAGUCUAUUAGUAGGGCAGAGGAUAAUUUCUGUCCGCAUAGGCAUAGUCUUUUGGUCCAAUAUCUCAAUGAACAGUAAAUUAAUAGAAUGAAUUGACCAACUAAAUUUUCUGACCUAGCUUAUGACUAAGUAUGCAUGGGAUUGCUAUUGAAAGACUAAUUGCUGCUCUUAUUUGAUCUCUCAGAAGCCUUGCU
This 578-nucleotide long non-coding RNA is filed under the name Androctonus crassicauda. Lineage: Eukaryota; Metazoa; Arthropoda; Arachnida; Scorpiones; Buthidae. The record is from RNAcentral.